Molecule: transfer RNA, 76 nt
Filed under: Bacteroidales bacterium
Lineage: Bacteria; Pseudomonadati; Bacteroidota; Bacteroidia; Bacteroidales
Description: tRNA-Pro
Rfam family: tRNA
About the family: Transfer RNA (tRNA) molecules are approximately 80 nucleotides in length. Their secondary structure includes four short double-helical elements and three loops (D, anti-codon, and T loops).
Source: RNAcentral
CGGGGUGUAGCGCAGUUGGUAGCGUACUACGUUCGGGACGUAGGGGCCGGAAGUUCGAGUCUUCUCACCCCGACAA